RNAcentral lists this ribosomal RNA (442 nucleotides) under uncultured bacterium. RNAcentral describes it as "partial 16S ribosomal RNA". It matches the Rfam family "Bacterial small subunit ribosomal RNA", at positions 338 to 794 of the family's 1533-position model. The record is from RNAcentral.
CCUACGGGAGGCAGCAGUGGGGAAUAUUGGACAAUGGGGGGAACCCUGAUCCAGCGACGCCGCGUGAGUGAAGAAGUAUUUCGGCAUGUAAAGCUCUAUCAGCAGGGAAGAAAGAAAUGACGGUACCUGACUAAGAAGCCCCGGCUAACUACGUGCCAGCAGCCGCGGUAAUACGUAGGGGGCAAGCGUUAUCCGGAUUUACUGGGGGUAAAGGGAGCGUAGACGGCGAUGCAAGUCUGAAGUGAAAGGCGGGGGCCCAACCCCCGGACUGCUUUGGAAACUGUAUGGCUGGAGUGCAGGAGAGGUAAGUGGAAUUCCUAGUGUAGCGGUGAAAUGCGUAGAUAUUAGGAGGAACACCAGUGGCGAAGGCGGCUUACUGGACUGUAACUGACGUUGAGGCUCGAAAGCGUGGGGAGCAAACAGGAUUAGAUACCCUAGUAGU